This is a non-coding RNA of Rattus norvegicus (Norway rat), 2776 nucleotides long. NCBI's taxonomy places the organism in Eukaryota, Metazoa, Chordata, Mammalia, Rodentia, Muridae. The record is from RefSeq and is a predicted model, not a curated record.
GGGAGGAAAAUGAGGGGCAAGAUAAGGAGUGGGAGGAGACAGAGAAGUACAGAGAGUCAGGAAAUUAAGUAGAGGUGUAUAGCAGUGGGGGUUGGCGAACUGGGAAUAGCCACUAGGAAGUCCCAGAUGCCAUGAAAGCAAGAGGCUCCCAGGACCAAAUGGGGAUGGCAUUAGCUGAAAUACCCAACAAAGAGGAGAGAGAACCUGUAGAGACCAUAUCCAGAGGUUAGGCUUGGCCCCUGUUUGAGACACGGGCCACCCACCCAUCUCAAAAAUAUUAACCCAUAAUUGUUCCUAUCUAAAGGAAAUAGAGGGACAAAGAAUGGAGCAGAGACUGAAGGAAAGGCCAUCCAGAGACUGCCCCACCUAGCGAUCCAUCCCAUAUGCAGUCACCAAACCCAGACACUAUUGUUGAUGCCAAGAAGCAAUUGCUAAUAGGAGCCUGGUAUGGCGGUUCCCUGAGAGAUCCUACCAGCACCUGACCAAUACAGAUGCAUAUGCUCUCAGUCAACCAUCAGACUGAGCAUGGGGACUCCAAUGGAGAAGUUAGGGGAAGGACUGAAGAAGAUGAAGGGGUUUACAACCCCACAAGGAAGAACAAUUUUAUCAACGAACCAGACUCCCCUGAGCUCCCAGGAACUAAACCACCAACCAAGGAGUACACAUGGAGGGACCCAUAGCUCCAACUGCUUAUGUAGCAGAGGAUGCCUUAUCUGGCAUCAAUGGGAAGGGAGGCCCUUGGUCCUGUGGAGACUUGAUGUCCCAAUGUAGGGUAAUGGUAGGGUGGUGAGUUGGAAGUGGGUGGAUUGGUGGGUGAGUGUGGAGAGCUUUAGGGACUGCUUCUAGAAACUUGGCAGGAAUUUGACAUUGGUCUAGGUUAAGACAGUAAACUCAAGCUGGAAUUUGAUUUUGGACGAGGACAGGGAAGUAGGAUCAGAUAUGAGUACUUAUAUUUGGGCUAACACAAAGCUCAUGGUAAAUUCAGCUGAGGAAUGUGGCAUUUCUUUUAUUUUGGACAUCCUGAUAGGCCCCUAGAAACACUGAUCAUGGGACUUUGUUUAUUGCCUUGUUUGUUCCUUAACCUAGAACUGGCCUUAUUACUUGCAUAUGCUUAAAAUGGUAUAAAAGCAAACUGGGGGAAAAAAUAAACCCUCUUCAGCCUCAGAACUGGCUGGGGUCACGCUACAGAGUUGUCUAAUUGUCUUUUUCUUUUUAAUCCUCACUCCAUCCCUGUGGAACCCAUUGACUGGCUGAGCUGGCUUGGUCAGGUGGUGCCUGGAGCUCUGGUAAGCAGGAUACAGGGAAGGACACUGCAGGAUAGGAAGUGUGUGCAAAGAAAAGUAAAGAAGAUUUGGGCAAGCAGUGAAUAAACCCUGUAAAAAGGAACAGGAAAUUUAAGACCCAAAUCCCAUGGGGAAGAGAGCUAAACACCCAGAAGUGCAGACAUCCUGACACCGCAGGACAGACUACCACUUCUGCACACCUCUGCCCACAUCCCUGGUCCAAGGGGAAACUGCACAGUGCCUCUGGUCAUGGGAAUAUAGGAACAACCAGCCACCAGUACCUGCAGUUCUAGUCUGCACCCAGGACUAAACUGAACCGGCCAAACAGCUCCCUAAACCCAAAUCCUGAGGGGGAGAGAACUGGACCCUCAGAAGUGCAGACACUCCUGAGGCAGGACCCUUCUGAUUCCUGCCCAUGACUAGAGCUGAAAGACAGUCACCAGGAGCACCUACACACUUGAGGACAGAGGUUAGACCCACUUUUCUGCUCCAAGUGACCUGCCUGGUGGAUCAGGACACACAGACACAGAAGUCCUCUGGGUCAGGGCACUUCCUGUUUCUGGCUCUGCCCAGAAGUGAACUGAUACCAUCCCACAGUUCCCUGCACCCAAAUCCCAUGGGGAAGAGAGCUGAACACCCAGAAGAGCAGACAUCCUGACACCGCAGGACAGACUGCCAAUUCUGCACACCUCUGCCCACAUCCCUGGUCCAAGGGGAACUGCAAAGUGCCUCUGGACACAGGAACACAGGAACAGUCAGCCACCAGUACCUGCAGUUCUGGUCUGUGCCUGGGACCGAACUGACCCAGCCAAACAGCUCCCUGAACCCAAAUCCUGUGAGAGAGAGAGCUGGACCCUCAGAAGAGCAGACACUCCUGAGAAGUCAGAGGAGACUACCCUCUGACCACAUUUCAGACUCAAGAGAGAAUCACCUAGUGCCAACUGUGCCCCCUGGGUGCAAGAACCUAGGAGCAAUUAGGGGCAGGACCCUUCUGAUUCCUGCCCAUGACUAGAGCUGGAAGACAGUCUCCAGGUGCACUGACACACCUGAAAUCAGAGCACCUGUUCUCAGGAAAAGAUGAAAGAAAACAGGAAAACAGGUCUACAGGAGUGCCAACACAGAGGCCUACAGCAGGGCCAAGUCACUCUCAGAAACAGCAAGACAAGCAAACACCAGAGACAACCCAAUGUCUAAAGGCAAGUGCAGGAACCUAAGCAACAGCAACCAAGACUACGUGGCAUCAUCAGAGUCCAGUUCUCUCACCAAAGAAAAUACUAGAUAUCCAAAGACACUGGAAAAGCAAGAUUUAGAUUUAAAAAUCACAUUUUAUGAUAAUGAUGGAGGACUUUAAGAAGAACAUAAACAACUCCUUAAAGAAAUGCAGGACAACACAAGUAAACAAGUAGAAGCCCUUAAAAAGGAAACACAAAAAUCCCUGAAAGAAUUACAGGAAAACACAAUCAAACAGGUGAAGGAAUUGAUCAAAACCAUCC